This 419-nucleotide ribosomal RNA is filed under the name uncultured bacterium. RNAcentral's name for it is "bacterial SSU rRNA". It matches the Rfam family "Bacterial small subunit ribosomal RNA", at positions 29 to 433 of the family's 1533-position model. The record is from RNAcentral.
AACGAACGCUGGCGGCGUGGAUAAGACAUGCAAGUCGAACGGGACUUGCUCUGUAGCAAUACAGAGCAAGUCUAGUGGCGUAAGGGUGCGUAACACGUGGGGAAUCUGCCGAGAAGUGGGGGAUAGCUCGCCGAAAGGCGAAUUAAUACCGCAUGUGGCUACCGAAGACAUCUUCGGGGCGCCAAAGCCGGGGCAACCUGGCGCUUCUUGAUGACCCCGCGGCCUAUCAGCUUGUUGGCGAGGUAAAAGCUCACCAAGGCUAUGACGGGUAGCUGGUCUGAGAGGACGACCAGUCACACUGGAACUGAGACACGGUCCAGACACCUACGGGUGCAGCAGUCGAGUAAUUUUUCUCAAGUGGGGAAACCCUGAAGGAGCGACGCCGCGUGGAGGAUGAAGGUCUUCGGAUUGUAAACUCC